RNAcentral lists this ribosomal RNA (253 nucleotides) under uncultured bacterium. RNAcentral describes it as "partial 16S ribosomal RNA". It matches the Rfam family "Bacterial small subunit ribosomal RNA", at positions 524 to 776 of the family's 1533-position model. The record is from RNAcentral.
UACGGGGGGAGCAAGCGUUGUUCGGAUUUACUGGGCGUAAAGGGCGCGUAGGCGGCGCGACGAGUCACUUGUGAAAUCUCCGGGCUUAACCCGGAGCGGCCAAGUGAUACUGUCGUGCUCGAGUGCGGAAGGGGCCACUGGAAUUCUCGGUGUAGCGGUGAAAUGCGUAGAUAUCGAGAGGAACACCUGCGGCGAAGGCGGGUGGCUGGGCCGACACUGACGCUGAGGCGCGAAAGCCAGGGGAGCGAACGGG